Molecule: ribosomal RNA, 374 nt
Filed under: uncultured bacterium
Lineage: Bacteria
Description: bacterial SSU rRNA
Rfam family: Bacterial small subunit ribosomal RNA
Source: RNAcentral
AUUGAACGCUGGCGGCAUGCUUUACACAUGCAAGUCGAACGGUAACAGGCCUUCGGGUGCUGACGAGUGGCGAACGGGUGAGUAAUGCAUCGGAACGUGCCCAAUCGUGGGGGAUAACGUAGCGAAAGUUACGCUAAUACCGCAUAAGCCCUGAGGGGGAAAUGGGGGACCGCAAGGCCUCACGCGAAUGGAGCGGCCGAUGUCAGAUUAGCUAGUUGGUGGGGUAAAAGGCCCGACCAAGGCGACGAUCUGUAGCGGGUCUGAGAGGAUGAUCCGCCACACUGGGACUGAGACACGGCCCAGACUCCUACGGGAGGCAGCAGUGGGGAAUUUUGGGACAAUGGGCGCAAGCCUGAUCCAGCCAUGCCGCGUGC